This 120-nucleotide ribosomal RNA is filed under the name Pteropus alecto (black flying fox). The record is from RNAcentral. Lineage: Eukaryota; Metazoa; Chordata; Mammalia; Chiroptera; Pteropodidae.
AUCUAUGGCCAUGCCACCAUGAACAAGCCCGAGCUCGUCUGAUCUCGGAAGCUAAGCAGGGUCGGGCCUGGUUAGUACUUGGAUGGGGAGACCACCUAGGAAGACCAGGAGCUGUAGGCG